Molecule: long non-coding RNA, 1951 nt
Organism: Prionailurus viverrinus (fishing cat)
Lineage: Eukaryota; Metazoa; Chordata; Mammalia; Carnivora; Felidae
Exons: 4
Source: RefSeq, a predicted model, not a curated record
GGGGCCUGCGCCGCGACCCCGCCGCGCUGCCGUUGUGCCCAGGCGAUUGCUGUUUCGCGGCUCGGCGAUGCAGACCACGUAAAGGACAACGGAAAACGUCUCCCUGCUGGGGCCGGUUCUGUAACGUAUUGAGCGCUCACGUUCUGAAAAAAACCUUUGGACCCUCUUCUACCUCCGCCGAGAAAGCCCAUCUGGAAGGAAACUCUAAACAGCUUCAGGUGUCACUUGGCUGACAUCACAGCCGACCCGAGAGAGGCAGGAAGAAGUUGUACUUCCGCUGAAGAGAUCUUUUUCUUCUCAUAGAGGCCACGUCUUGAAAAUCUAAAGGAGGAAGGUGGGUGGAGCACUGACAACGCUUGUCUGGCCGUAGCCACGGGAACAAAGGCAGAGUUCAGACUGGGCCUCUGAGGGCAAGGCUCCCCACCCAGGCCAACCGCCCCUGCGUGGAGGUCUGAGUUGUCAAAGAUGACACUGUUUCGGUAACGAGCUCCUGGGCAGACUCCCGACCUAUUUCCAGUGACUGCGUGGCUUCAUUCAGACUGCUAGCCACUGUGGUGGAGAGGAAGACGCUGGAGUGAACAUUCUGUCUUUCAAGAGAGUUCCUGGUUUCCAGGCUGAGCAUCAUUGUGCCUCCAUGCUGUUUCCUUUGGGGCUUCUUGGCAAAAUGCAAAUCCGCCUCCUUGUCCCUUUUCUGGUAGCCGCGCCUCCCCCAGGGUGAAGAUUUCAACCUUGCCCUCGGAGUCGGGCUCUCUGCCCUCUGGAGCUGGACUUUGAACUCCUUUCCAAACGCCAGGAAAAGGACUCUGCCUGGACCGAAAGUCCUUUCCAGCAAAUGUGCCUCCACGUGAAGCGCCAGUGGUUUCAGAAAGCGCUUAAACCUGCACCAGGACUGGUACUGUGCGGAGUGCAGAAGGAACCACUUUCUGGAAUGGGAGCACUUCCUGCUGGCUCCUGGGCUGUUCGAGCUGUGCAGGGUGCCCUCGCUCGGACCCGGCGUCCCUCCUCCCUUUGACUUGAAAAUAGCCGUCUCUUCAUUAUAAUGGAAUUAUUUCUUUUCCCGGCAAUUUCCAAUACUUUUCUCAGUUCAUUUACAUCCAUGGGCUCGAAUGGAAAGCUCAAGGGAUAUAUUUCGUAUCUGGACUUAUCUGUGUUUUGUUGGUUCAAUCUAGUGAUGCCAUCCUGCGUCAUUCAGGGCGCAGGGAAAUGGGAGCAGCUUACACAGGACGAGAGAGGUACCAUAGCGCGACGCUAAGUAAGGUGGGCCCUGAAAUCACGGGGGUUUCGAGCAAUUUGCAAGCAAAUCAAGCUUCCGCAACCUUCAGUUUUUCAGUCUGUGAAGGUUAGAUAAUAAUAACACUUCCCUUACAGUGUUACUGUAAGGCGUGUCCUCAAGGACCCCUUGCGACGCCGCGAGUAACGAAGUCCAACCCAAGCUGUGUUAGAUACUCGAAGGCUUUUACUGACCCGCCUGACUUGAAGAAAGAGUGGGAGGCAGGGAAUGAGGGGAGAAUGAAGUGCCUUCCCACCACCACCCAUAAAUAAGAAUCUUACACUCCGAAUGGGUCAGUUGUGCCCUUGUUACCUGACUCUGAACCAGUCGCUACGGGUGUGGGAAAUGCCAACCACGACCAAAGCUGUCCUGGCCCCCUCUCAGACCCAGGUGUGGCCAGUCCCAUUCUAAGCCCCCGGCUGGGCCAAAAUGGGACAAGGGCAGAAUGGAUGGUAGAGAGGCCACCAUAAUGUCCACUGCACCAGAGUCAUGAGUAACUGAGCACAGGGCUCAGUCUGGGGCUUGGGACUCAGCAUCUCUGUCAGUGCCCGUCGUUCCACGUGCCUCCGGCACCAUAAUCUGCCCUGCCAUCCUCAAUAUUAAGAUGAGCACUCUUUGGGGCGCCUGAGUGGCUCAGUUGGUUGAACGUCCGACCGACUCCAGCUCAGGCCAUGAUCUCAC